RNAcentral lists this transfer RNA (83 nucleotides) under Ophiobolus disseminans. RNAcentral's name for it is "tRNA-Arg". It matches the Rfam family "tRNA", at positions 1 to 61 of the family's 71-position model. Rfam says of the family: Transfer RNA (tRNA) molecules are approximately 80 nucleotides in length. Their secondary structure includes four short double-helical elements and three loops (D, anti-codon, and T loops). Further hydrogen bonds mediate the characteristic L-shaped molecular structure. tRNAs have two regions of fundamental functional importance: the anti-codon, which is responsible for specific mRNA codon recognition, and the 3' end, to which the tRNAs corresponding amino acid is attached (by aminoacyl-tRNA synthetases). tRNAs cope with the degeneracy of the genetic code in two manners: having more than one tRNA (with a specific anti-codon) for a particular amino acid; and 'wobble' base-pairing, i.e. permitting non-standard base-pairing at the 3rd anti-codon position. The record is from RNAcentral. Lineage: Eukaryota; Fungi; Ascomycota; Dothideomycetes; Pleosporales; Phaeosphaeriaceae.
GGAGUCUUGGCGCAAUGGUAGCGCGUUGGUUUUCGGUUCACAAGCUGUUCACCAAAGGUUGAGGGUUCGAGCCGUACGUUCCC